AACGAACGCUGGCGGCAGGCCUAACACAUGCAAGUCGAGCGGACCCUUCGGGGUUAGCGGCGGACGGGUUAGUAACGCGUGGGAACGUGCCCAAAGGUACGGAAUAGCCUCGGGAAACUGAGAGUAAUACCGUAUGUGCCCCUCGGGGGAAAGAUUUAUCGCCUUUGGAUCGGCCCGCGUUGGAUUAGGUAGUUGGUGGGGUAAUGGCCUACCAAGCCGACGAUCCAUAGCUGGUUUGAGAGGAUGAUCAGCAACACUGGGACUGAGACACGGCCCAGACUCCUACGGGAGGCAGCAGUGGGGAAUCUUAGACAAUGGGGGAAACCCUGAUCUAGCCAUGCCGCGUGGACGAUGGAGGCCUUAGGGUUGUAAAGUCCUUUCAGCUGGGAAGAUAAUGACGGUACCAGCAGAAGAAGCCCCGGCUAACUCCGUG
RNAcentral lists this ribosomal RNA (433 nucleotides) under uncultured bacterium. RNAcentral describes it as "bacterial SSU rRNA". It matches the Rfam family "Bacterial small subunit ribosomal RNA", at positions 29 to 507 of the family's 1533-position model. The record is from RNAcentral.